UGUGGCUCAGUGGUAGAGCACUUGCCUAGCAUGUGUGAGGCCCUGGGUUUAAUUCUCAGCA
This 61-nucleotide transfer RNA is filed under the name Ictidomys tridecemlineatus (thirteen-lined ground squirrel). Its description in RNAcentral is "Spermophilus tridecemlineatus (thirteen-lined ground squirrel) tRNA". It matches the Rfam family "tRNA", at positions 6 to 65 of the family's 71-position model. From Rfam's summary of the family: Transfer RNA (tRNA) molecules are approximately 80 nucleotides in length. Lineage: Eukaryota; Metazoa; Chordata; Mammalia; Rodentia; Sciuridae. The record is from Rfam by way of RNAcentral.